Bos taurus (domestic cattle) is the source of this 543-nucleotide long non-coding RNA. Lineage: Eukaryota; Metazoa; Chordata; Mammalia; Artiodactyla; Bovidae. The record is from Ensembl.
GGAAAUGGCAACCCACUCCAGUAUUCUUGCCUGGAAAAUUCCAUGGACAGAGGAACCUGACGGGCUACAGUCCAUGGGGUUGCAAAGAGUUGGACUGAGCACAAACGCAUGAUCUAAUUUAAUAAUAAGGAUGCUGUUUAGGAGAUUAUGUGUUUCCAUGCCUGCUAAUCCAGGAAUUCAAGGCGGAAGGCAACACUGGCCAGCGCCCAGAUCCUCAACCAGCCCUUCUAUCUGGAGGCUUACCGAAUGUCUGAUCCACAGGAAUGGAAUCCCAUACAGCAGAGCAUCCAAGCAGGGGCUGUACUUCAGAUGCAGCUGGUGUGGAACCAGGGGCCCUCUGGCUGUGUCAUGUACUGCACCACCCAGAGAGAAAAGACACAGAUGAAGUAGUGGAAGAAUUGCUACCUGCUCCUGGGAUCAGGAAGGCCUCAGAUCCUCACACGCUCUGCGACUCCUGAGUUUUUCACUGAAUGCUAUUUUCCAUGUGCUUAUCAAAUGUGAGCGCAUCAGGGUCUUUUCAAAUGAGUCAGCUCUUUGCAUCAG